Capsicum annuum is the source of this 656-nucleotide long non-coding RNA. RefSeq lists it as uncharacterized. The record is from RefSeq and is a predicted model, not a curated record. The transcript is spliced from 4 exons. Lineage: Eukaryota; Viridiplantae; Streptophyta; Magnoliopsida; Solanales; Solanaceae.
CACAUAUAUAUUCUAUAAUAUAGAAGAGCCUUGGAAGCAGGUGAUGGUCGUCAUGCCUGCUUCCAAGGGCAAUUUAGUCUUUUUGCUAGAAGUGUUGUCUCAUCCAAAAUACGCAGUCCCUCUUAACAACACGUAUGAUUUUUCCUUCUUUUCUUUUCCAUAUCCAUUUACUUUGCUUAUCUCCAAAAACUGCAACUGGGUUUUGGUUAGCUAUAUUUAAGCUUCAGUUUACUCUAUUCAAGCUAAUUCUGUCGUUCAGAUAAAACCACAACUGAAAAAACUAAAUCAAUCAAAGUCAGCGGCUUUUCAAAAUCCUCUGAUAUGUCCUCCACUCAUGCCGUGGAGCCUAUCUAUAGUAAAGGAAAAACUAUUGUGGAGUAUUUCACCGUGUUUGAAGUUGGUUCAACAUCUGCUACGCCUCAUCAACAAUACGAUUCACGCGCAUUAGCUAUUGCAGACAAAGGUCAACAUCCACUGCACCUCCUCAACAACCAGACAUAGAGAUAUUGGCUGCCACAAACAUAGGUUUGUCUUCUCUCCAAUCUUCUACCAACAUUUACUGUUGAUUGCUUUCUACCACUAAUGGUGUACGUUACUGCAACUAAUAUACACAGGUUCUAAAUCAACAAGAACCAACUGAAACUUUAAACAAUUGC